RNAcentral lists this small nuclear RNA (255 nucleotides) under Erinaceus europaeus (western European hedgehog). RNAcentral describes it as "7SK RNA". It matches the Rfam family "7SK RNA", at positions 1 to 255 of the family's 331-position model. From Rfam's summary of the family: 7SK was discovered as an abundant small nuclear RNA in the mid-70s but a possible function has only recently been suggested. Lineage: Eukaryota; Metazoa; Chordata; Mammalia; Eulipotyphla; Erinaceidae. The record is from Rfam by way of RNAcentral.
GGAUGUCAGAUGACCUGGCUGUGAUAUUUGUAACCUAGGAUUCUGUUUAUUUUCGCUGAUCUGACUAUGAAGUCAUCUCCUUUCUUUGCCAUCCUUCUAAUGUGCACCCUUCUCAUUUCAAGCCACUAGGUUGAAAAGGGUGAUCUUCCCUGAAACUACUCUUUGGUUGAGGGUAUAUAAGUAGUUGUAUUCCAGGAUUAGGAUUUCCAAGAAAACUCUUUAAAAAAAAAAAAAAGACAUUUUUAUUUAUUGGAU